GAGAGAUCUCUGCCCUCAGUCGUUUAACUAUUUAAACGUCAUCCCAUCAGACGGUUAAACUACUAUGAACAUUUUGGUGCUAAAUGGAAUGAGGGUAGUCAUCCCUCUCAU
Molecule: microRNA precursor, 111 nt
Filed under: Medicago truncatula (barrel medic)
Lineage: Eukaryota; Viridiplantae; Streptophyta; Magnoliopsida; Fabales; Fabaceae
Description: MIR5294 microRNA precursor family
Rfam family: MIR5294 microRNA precursor family
Source: Rfam by way of RNAcentral